RNAcentral lists this ribosomal RNA (508 nucleotides) under uncultured bacterium. RNAcentral's name for it is "partial 16S ribosomal RNA". It matches the Rfam family "Bacterial small subunit ribosomal RNA", at positions 28 to 507 of the family's 1533-position model. The record is from RNAcentral.
GACGAACGCUGGCGGCGUGCUUAACACAUGCAAGUCGAACGGGCCUUGUCCCCUUUUUUUUUGGGGGUGGGGUUAGUGGCGAACGGGUGAGUAACACGUGAGUAACCUGCCCCUCACUUCUGGAUAACCGCUUGAAAGGGUGGCUAAUACGGGGUGUUCUGGCCUGCUCGCAUGGGUGGGUUUGGAAAGAUUCGACCGGUUUUGGUUGUUUUGGUGGGGGAUGGGCUUGCGGCCUAUCAGCUUGUUGGUGGGGUGAUGGCCUGCCAAGGCUUUGACGGGUGGCCGGCCUGAGAGGGUGGGCGGUCACACUGGGACUGAGACACGGCCCAGACUCCUACGGGAGGCAGCAGUGGGGAAUAGUGCACAAUGGGCGCAAGCCUGAUGCAGCGACGCCGCGUGAGGGAUGGAGGCCUUCGGGUUGUGAACCUCUUUCGCCAGUGAAGAAGGUCCUGCUCUUUGUGGUGGGGUUGGCGGUAGCUGGGUUAAUGAAGCGCCGGCUAACUACGUG